This 440-nucleotide ribosomal RNA is filed under the name uncultured bacterium. Its description in RNAcentral is "partial 16S ribosomal RNA". It matches the Rfam family "Bacterial small subunit ribosomal RNA", at positions 338 to 770 of the family's 1533-position model. The record is from RNAcentral.
CCUACGGGGGGCAGCAGUAGGGAAUCUUCCACAAUGGGCGAAAGCCUGAUGGAGCAACGCCGCGUGGGUGAAGAAGGUCUUCGGAUCGUAAAACCCUGUUGUUAGAGAAGAAAGUGCGUGAGAGUAACUGUUCACGUUUCGACGGUAUCUAACCAGAAAGCCACGGCUAACUACGUGCCAGCAGCCGCGGUAAUACGUAGGUGGCAAGCGUUAUCCGGAUUUAUUGGGCGUAAAGGGAACGCAGGCGGUCUUUUAAGUCUGAUGUGAAAGCCUUCGGCUUAACCGGAGUAGUGCAUUGGAAGCUGGGAGACUUGAGUGCAGAAGAGGGGAGUGGAACUCCAUGUGUAGCGGUGAAAUGCGUAGAUAUAUGGAAGAACACCAGUGGCGAAAGCGGCUCUCUGGUCUGUAACUGACGCUGAGGUUCCUUGACCCCUGUAGUC